AGAUUGAACGCUGGCGGCAGGCCUAACACAUGCAAGUCGAGCGGCAGCACGGGUACUUGUACCUGGUGGCGAGCGGCGGACGGGUGAGUAAUGCCUAGGAAUCUGCCUGAUAGUGGGGGGAUAACGUUCGGAAACGGACGCUAAUACCGCAUACGUCCUACGGGAGAAAGUGGGGGAUCUUCGGACCUCACGCUAUCAGAUGAGCCUAGGUCGGAUUAGCUAGUUGGUAGGGUAAAGGCCUACCAAGGCUACGAUCCGUAACUGGUCUGAGAGGAUGAUCAGUCACACUGGAACUGAGACACGGUCCAGACUCCUACGGGAGGCAGCAGUGGGGGAAUAUUGGACAAUGGGCGAAAGCCUGAUCCAGCCAUGCCGCGUGUGUGAAGAAGGUCUUCGGAUUGUAAAGCACUUUAAGUUGGGAGAAGGGCAAUUAACCUAAUACGUUAGUGUUUUUGACGUUUACGACAGAAUAAGCACCGGCUAACUCUGUGCCAGCAGCCGCGGUAA
This 507-nucleotide ribosomal RNA is filed under the name uncultured soil bacterium. Its description in RNAcentral is "bacterial SSU rRNA". It matches the Rfam family "Bacterial small subunit ribosomal RNA", at positions 26 to 523 of the family's 1533-position model. The record is from RNAcentral.